AGCUCAAUUGGCAGAGCAGCCGGCUGUUAACCGGCAGGUUACUGGUUCGAGUCCAGUC
RNAcentral lists this transfer RNA (58 nucleotides) under Streptomyces sp. SID5914. RNAcentral's name for it is "tRNA-Asn". It matches the Rfam family "tRNA", at positions 9 to 64 of the family's 71-position model. Rfam says of the family: Transfer RNA (tRNA) molecules are approximately 80 nucleotides in length. The record is from RNAcentral. RNAcentral also lists the same sequence under 1 other name. Lineage: Bacteria; Bacillati; Actinomycetota; Actinomycetes; Kitasatosporales; Streptomycetaceae.